This is a long non-coding RNA of Vollenhovia emeryi, 270 nucleotides long. RefSeq lists it as uncharacterized. The transcript has 2 exons. The record is from RefSeq and is a predicted model, not a curated record. NCBI's taxonomy places the organism in Eukaryota, Metazoa, Arthropoda, Insecta, Hymenoptera, Formicidae.
AGGUGACUAAUAGUGCCGGGAUUGCAUCAUCUGAUCGCAUAUCAUCCCGCGCGAGGCCCGGUUAUCGAGUCUUAGCAUUGCUCAAACCAUUAGACUGUGCAUUUACAAGUAAUUACAAAGCAACACGUCAAGAGGUUAGCCGUGGUCGUAUCGGCUCGCAUAUACGAGCAUGUGAUUGGCUCUGUGCCGAGAGUAACAUAAUUUACAAUUAUCAGAAAUACUUGGUUAACUCCUCGAAAAAAAGAAGUUUUUUGGCCACCUACGAAAGAU